Non-coding RNA from Argiope bruennichi, 74 nucleotides. The record is from the annotation of a RefSeq genome assembly. Lineage: Eukaryota; Metazoa; Arthropoda; Arachnida; Araneae; Araneidae.
GUCAGGAUGGCCGAGCGGUCUAAGGCGCUGCGUUCAGGACUCUGUGGACGUGGGUUCGAAUCCCACUCCUGACA